AACCUCCGCAAUGUGAGAAAUCGCGACGGGGGGAUCCCAAGUGCCAUUCUUAACGGGAUGGCUUUUCAUUAGUGUAAAGAGCUUUUGGAAUAAGGGCUGGGCAAGACCGGUGCCAGCCGCCGCGGUAACACCGGCAGCUCUAGUGGUAGCAGUUUUUAUUGGGCCUAAAGCGUCCGUAGCCGGUUUAAUAAGUCUCUGGUGAAAUCCUGUAGCUUAACUGUGGGAAUUGCUGGAGAUACUAUUAGACUUGAGACCGGGAGAGGUUAGAGGUACUCCCAGGGUAGAGGUGAAAUUCUGUAAUCCUGGGAGGACCGCCUGUUGUGAAGGCGUCUAACUGGAACGGUUCUGACGGUGAGGGACGAAAGUUAGGGGCGCGAACCGGGAUUAGAUACCCGGGUAGUCCUAACUGUAAACGAUGCGGACUUGGUGUUGGGGUGGCUUUGAGCUGUCCCAGUGCCGAAGGGAAGCUGUUAAGUCCGCCGCCUGGGAAGUACGGUCGCAAGACUGAAACUUAAAGGAAUU
This 522-nucleotide ribosomal RNA is filed under the name uncultured bacterium. Its description in RNAcentral is "bacterial SSU rRNA". It matches the Rfam family "Archaeal small subunit ribosomal RNA", at positions 345 to 866 of the family's 1478-position model. The record is from RNAcentral.